UCAGAUUUUUGCAUUAUAGACCCCUCUUCUUUUUUCAGUUGGUCAUAAAUUGCUGGGACGGAGAGGGAGAAUGUUUGGAGCUGAAACUUUCCAUGCUUAGGCUUAGCUCUAAAGCCUUACAACAACUGUGGUUUCUGGGAGCCUCUAAACAAGUCAUCCUCAACCCUCUCAAGGUCUGUGUACCUAGCCCUCUGCUUUGUUCGGAGACUUGCAGAAUUUUGUUUACAUAAACUUUGUUGUUCAACCAUGUGAGCUUAGAUAUGCAGUCAGUCUUAUCUCAAAUCCUCUACUGAAACUCAAAAGCAAGAUUGAAAAU
Malaclemys terrapin pileata is the source of this 316-nucleotide long non-coding RNA. RefSeq lists it as uncharacterized. NCBI's taxonomy places the organism in Eukaryota, Metazoa, Chordata, Testudines, Emydidae. The record is from RefSeq and is a predicted model, not a curated record. The transcript is spliced from 3 exons.